Molecule: small nucleolar RNA, 127 nt
Filed under: Xenopus laevis (African clawed frog)
Lineage: Eukaryota; Metazoa; Chordata; Amphibia; Anura; Pipidae
Description: Small nucleolar RNA SNORA65
Rfam family: Small nucleolar RNA SNORA65
About the family: U65 belongs to the H/ACA class of snoRNAs which are thought to guide the sites of modification of uridines to pseudouridines.
Source: Rfam by way of RNAcentral
CCCGCCACUGCAGCAGUUUAUUGCCUAACUGCUUACAGUCCAGUGGUGAGCUAAGAGCAAACUACAUCUUAGGAAACAGGUACAUUCUGGGUGUGAGUGAACCUGUGCCAAAAGAUUGUAAACAAGA